Molecule: ribosomal RNA, 253 nt
Filed under: uncultured bacterium
Lineage: Bacteria
Description: partial 16S ribosomal RNA
Rfam family: Bacterial small subunit ribosomal RNA
Source: RNAcentral
UACGUAGGGAGCAAGCGUUGUCCGGAAUCAUUGGGCGUAAAGCGCGCGUAGGUGGCCUCGUAAGUCCGCUGUGAAAGUCCAAGGCUCAACCUUGGAAAGUCGGUGGAUACUGUGGGGCUAGAGUACGGAAGAGGCGAGUGGAAUUCCUGGUGUAGCGGUGGAAUGCGCAGAUAUCAGGAGGAACACCAAUAGCGAAGGCAGCUCGCUGGGACGUUACUGACACUGAGGCGCGAAAGCGUGGGGAGCGAACAGG